Molecule: unclassified non-coding RNA, 255 nt
Filed under: Hevea brasiliensis (rubber tree)
Lineage: Eukaryota; Viridiplantae; Streptophyta; Magnoliopsida; Malpighiales; Euphorbiaceae
Source: RNAcentral
AACAGAAAAAUGUAAGUGUAUCAAAACUAGAGUUCACAUAUAAAUAAAGAAACAAGUUUAUAUCCAUAAGCAUUGUUGCAAGAAGAAGUAAGUAUGUAGCAACCCAAUGCAAACAAGCAGCAAAUUAUCCCACCAUUCACAUAAGUGAAAAAAUAAAUCUUACUCACAGAAUUGGAGGACAGAUAAUGCAGCAAUGAAACAAACACAUCACCUUAUUCUUAGAUUUGGCUACUUAAGGUCUUUCUUCUGUAGGAA